GCACAGCUUCAGGUAGAGAGGUGCAGGGGGUGCCUUCUGCCCCAGAACGGGCUCUGCCAGGGCAGGGAUGGCACCUUUGGAAGAGAUGGUACCUUUGGAGCAGACAGCAUGGAUUACCAUGCUCUGGGGACAUCUGCACUUUAGUUCUUCCAGGUAUCUAGAGAAGAACACAAGUUUUCGGAUUGAAGGUGCCACUCAGAGCAAGUAAACGGCACUUUUCAAGACUCCCCUUUGGAAACAUUCUAGAGAAUUUGAGAAUAGUGAGAGAAAAAUAGCAGCUUUUAAGGAAAACAGAG
RNAcentral lists this long non-coding RNA (296 nucleotides) under Fukomys damarensis (Damara mole-rat). Its description in RNAcentral is "lncRNA (ENSFDAG00000029667.1)". The record is from RNAcentral. Lineage: Eukaryota; Metazoa; Chordata; Mammalia; Rodentia; Bathyergidae.